This is a long non-coding RNA of Macadamia integrifolia, 1055 nucleotides long. RefSeq lists it as uncharacterized. The record is from RefSeq and is a predicted model, not a curated record. The transcript is spliced from 6 exons. Lineage: Eukaryota; Viridiplantae; Streptophyta; Magnoliopsida; Proteales; Proteaceae.
AGAGAGAGAGAGAGAGAGAGAGAGAGAGAGAGAGAGAGAGAGAGCGCUCUCCCAAACGGAAGUUAGGGUAGAUGGGGCAAGACAAUAGCUUGACAACCACAUAAUCACGCCCUAGUUUCUCUAGGGGCUGCAGAGUCGGUUUUGAAAGAAGGUUUGACAAAUCCUCUUAGCAGAAAGUCGCUGGACUUUGCGCACAUUACUAGUAGGGGCUGCGGAUUUUGGAACUUACAACCGAAGGAGAUCAUCUUUAAAGUGCAUUUCACCAAGAAUAUUGUGAAAGAUGACACAAGAGAAGAUGCCAUCAGUUGAGCCACAUAAAGAUAUAAAGAUAUGGAGGAAAGUCACCAGCGAGAUCAGCGAUUUACCAGAUUCGAUGGGGUUGCAAUUGGAGCUUUAUUGCACGACUUACAACCCAUACAAUAUCUCGACUCUUGGAUAAGAAAUUCAAAGAAGCGCUUCCAAACCUCUUCUGGAUCCUACAACUGGUUAAACGAAGCAUUCCCUCGAAAAUCCAAGAUGUUGGGAUUCGUGAUUAGUGGAUGUUUUAACAUGCUAAUGAUUGGAGUGAUGACACAUCUAUCAGUAUCUAAGAUGUGCCAUUCUCGAGUACUGAUAUUCUUCAAUAGGGGAGUUGUCUUAUUAGUGGGAUUAUUUAUAUUAUUUUUCAUUCCAAUGACGGAGAGCCUACCAGAGAACCAGCUAGUGGAGAACAUAUGGAGAAAACACUGGUUUUGAGGAAGAUUGGUAUUUGAUACCAAUUAGAGGGGGCAGGCAAUUUGAUUGAAAGAAACCAUGAUUUGCAUUUCUAUUCUGUACAAAUGGAUCAAGAGUUUUAAGAACAUUGAAAGAAACUUUACCAGAGAACCAACUAGUAGAGAACAUAUGGAGAAAACACUGGUUUUGGAGAAGAUUGAUAUUUGAUACCAAUUAGAGAUACAAGUUCGACAUGGAUCACGCAGCGGAAGAUCAUCAAACGGAUUUGAUGACCAUCACUCGUUUUGUUCAUAACGAGCAAUCCAGGUACCCAGAAUCUCGUGGUGAUUUAACCAUCUUGC